Molecule: ribosomal RNA, 508 nt
Filed under: uncultured bacterium
Lineage: Bacteria
Description: partial 16S ribosomal RNA
Rfam family: Bacterial small subunit ribosomal RNA
Source: RNAcentral
GACGAACGCUGGCGGCGUGCCUAAUACAUGCAAGUCGAACGCUUCUUUCCUCCCGAGUGCUUGCACUCAAUUGGAAAGAGGAGUGGCGGACGGGUGAGUAACACGUGGGUAACCUACCCAUCAGAGGGGGGUAACACUUGGAAACAGGUGCUAAUACCGCAUAACAGUUUAUGCCGCAUGGCAUAAGAGUGAAAGGCGCUUUCGGGUGUCGCUGAUGGAUGGACCCGCGGUGCAUUAGCUAGUUGGUGAGGUAACGGCUCACCAAGGCCACGAUGCAUAGCCGACCUGAGAGGGUGAUCGGCCACACUGGGACUGAGACACGGCCCAGACUCCUACGGGAGGCAGCAGUAGGGAAUCUUCGGCAAUGGACGAAAGUCUGACCGAGCAACGCCGCGUGAGUGAAGAAGGUUUUCGGAUCGUAAAACUCUGUUGUUAGAGAAGAACAAGGACGUUAGUAACUGAACGUCCCCUGACGGUAUCUAACCAGAAAGCCACGGCUAACUACGUG